This is a long non-coding RNA of Patiria miniata (bat star), 472 nucleotides long. RefSeq lists it as uncharacterized. The record is from RefSeq and is a predicted model, not a curated record. NCBI's taxonomy places the organism in Eukaryota, Metazoa, Echinodermata, Asteroidea, Valvatida, Asterinidae. The transcript is spliced from 2 exons.
CUUCUUCACCCUUAGAAAUUGUAGAUAUGUAUGUAGUGAGACGUCUUUUACGAGGCACCGUACAAUUGGCACACAGCCCAGAAAAAUGUAUACAAACGCGCACUCAGUGCCGUGAACGCGCGAAUAUCAGCCCUUUUCUGCCUGCACACCAAAGUGUGCAAUAUGGAGGCCUAGUUCACAACACAGCCGUACACUCGCCAGGCGUUCGGGGAACUUCGGGGAACCUGAUUAAAAUAUUAGAACCGGUGAAUCUUAGGAACCUCACUUUGAAUCUGGGAACUUUAGAAAUACAAACUUUGUGAUUUAAUAUGUUUAUCAUUGGCAACUGUGUCAGAAUUUAUAGAGCUAGAAACUGAUCUAUUAUCUUAUCGAUACUUUUUGUAACAGUUUUUGUAGGUUAAAAUUGAGAUCAUGUGUUAAUUUAAACUAUUGUAAUCGAUUUUUGUGAACAAGUUCAUGAGACCAAGCAUAA